CCUACGGGUGGCAGCAGUGAGGAAUAUUGGUCAAUGGACGAGAGUCUGAACCAGCCAAGUAGCGUGAAGGAUGACUGCCCUAUGGGUUGUAAACUCCUUUUAUAUGGGAAUAAAAUGUUCCACGUGUGGGAUUUUGUAUGUACCAUAUGAAUAAGGAUCGGCUAACUCCGUGCCAGCAGCCGCGGUAAUACGGAGGAUCCGAGCGUUAUCCGGAUUUAUUGGGUUUAAAGGGAGCGUAGGUGGAUUGUUAAGUCAGUUGUGAAAGUUUGCGGCUCAACCGUAAAAUUGCAGUUGAAACUGGCAGUCUUGAGUACAGUAGAGGUGGGCGGAAUUCGUGGUGUAGCGGUGAAAUGCUUAGAUAUCACGAAGAACUCCGAUUGCGAAGGCAGUUCACUGGACUGCAACUGACACUGAGGCUCGAAAGUGUGGGUAUCAAACAGGAUUAGAUACCCGAGUAGUC
Molecule: ribosomal RNA, 460 nt
Filed under: uncultured bacterium
Lineage: Bacteria
Description: partial 16S ribosomal RNA
Rfam family: Bacterial small subunit ribosomal RNA
Source: RNAcentral